RNAcentral lists this ribosomal RNA (301 nucleotides) under uncultured bacterium. Its description in RNAcentral is "partial 16S ribosomal RNA". It matches the Rfam family "Bacterial small subunit ribosomal RNA", at positions 509 to 809 of the family's 1533-position model. The record is from RNAcentral.
CAGCCGCCGCGGUAAUACAGAGGGUGCGAGCGUUAAUCGGAUUUACUGGGCGUAAAGCGUGCGUAGGCGGCUUCUUAAGUCGGAUGUGAAAUCCCUGAGCUUAACUUGGGAAUUGCAUUCGAUACUGGUUAGCUAGAGUGUGGGAGAGGAUGGUAGAAUUCCAGGUGUAGCGGUGAAAUGCGUAGAGAUCUGGAGGAAUACCGAUGGCGAAGGCAGCCAUCUGGCCUAACACUGACGCUGAGGUACGAAAGCAUGGGGAGCAAACAGGAUUAGAUACCCCCGUAGUCCCUGUCUCUUAUAU